Molecule: long non-coding RNA, 877 nt
Organism: Rhinolophus ferrumequinum (greater horseshoe bat)
Lineage: Eukaryota; Metazoa; Chordata; Mammalia; Chiroptera; Rhinolophidae
Exons: 4
Source: RefSeq, a predicted model, not a curated record
AACUGUUACCCAGGUGAGGAACCGCGGGCUCCCGGUCACCGAGGUAGUGAGCGACUCCAGGGGAAAGGAAACCUCAAGCCUUCUGAUCUCAGAGCACUUGGAAAUUGAAGCCAUGUGGGACUUAACAAGAGAUCAAAUAUGCCUUCGACGUCCCAGGGCAGCUGCCCUGUCCCCAGAGCCUGGGGCGGCCCCUGUGAUGGGGCCUGCCCGGCCUGGUGCUCUGGGCCCUGCUCCGCCCAGCCUGCUGCAGAUUCCAACAUGUCAUCUGGAGGACAUGGUUCUGAAUUAGCGGCUCAUUGCAAGACCACCAGUCUAGGACCACCAGUACAAUUUUGAAUAGAAGUAGUAGAAGAGGACAUCCUUGCCAUGUUUCCAAACUUACUGGUAAAGUGUUCGAUAUUUCAUCAUCAAGAACACCCUUUAUCAGAUUGACGAAGUUCCUUUCUGUUCCUAGAUUGCUGAGAGUUUUUAUCAUAAAUGCAUGUUAAAUUUUAUCAACUGCUUUCUCUGCAUCUAUCCAAAUGAUCGUAUGGUUUUCUCCCGUCUUGUUCAUGUGGUGAAUUACAUUGAUUUUUAAAUAUUAAGUCAACCUUGCAUUCCUGGGAUAAACCUUCAGUCAUGAUGUAUUAUUCGUUUUUAUAUAUUGUUGGGCUUAAUCUGCUAAUAUUUUUAAAGAAUUUUUACGUCUAUGUUCAUGAGGGAUAUUGGCCUCUUUUUGUGUAUAUGUGUUUGUCGGGUUUUGGUAUUCGUGUUUUGCUGGUACCAUAGGUCAAGUUGGGAGGUAUGCCACAUCCUCCUCUAUUUUUUGAAAGAGUUUGUGCAAGUUUGGUAUUUCUGCUUUGAAUGUUUGAUAGAAUUUAUCAGUGAAAUUACCUGU